UACGUAGGGUCCGAGCGUUGUCCGGAAUUAUUGGGCGUAAAGGGCUCGUAGGCGGUCUGUUGCGUCGGGAGUGAAAAUUCACAGCUUAACUGUGAACUUGCUUCCGAUACGGGCAGACUUGAGGUAUUCAGGGGAGAACGGAAUUCCUGGUGGUAGCGGUGAAAUGCGCAGAUAUCGGGAGGAACACCAGUAGCGAAGGCGGCACUCUGGGCCGGAACUGGACGC
This 225-nucleotide ribosomal RNA is filed under the name uncultured bacterium. RNAcentral's name for it is "partial 16S ribosomal RNA". It matches the Rfam family "Bacterial small subunit ribosomal RNA", at positions 524 to 746 of the family's 1533-position model. The record is from RNAcentral.